Molecule: ribosomal RNA, 439 nt
Filed under: uncultured bacterium
Lineage: Bacteria
Description: partial 16S ribosomal RNA
Rfam family: Bacterial small subunit ribosomal RNA
Source: RNAcentral
CUACGGGUUGCUCCUGUGGGGAAUAUUGCACAAUGGAGGAAACUCUGAUGCAGCAACGCCGCGUGGAGGAUGACACUUUUCGGAGCGUAAACUCCUUUUAUAUAGGAAGAAGAUGACGGUACUAUAUGAAUAAGCGCCGGCUAACUCCGUGCCAGCAGCCGCGGUAAUAAGGAGGGCGCAAGCGUUACUCGGAAUCACUGGGCGUAAAGAGCGUGUAGGCGGAUUAAAAAGUCAGAAGUGAAAUCCUAUAGCUUAACUAUAGAACUGCUUCUGAAACUCUUAAUCUAGAAUAUGGGAGAGGUAGAUGGAAUUUCUGGUGUAGGGGUAAAAUCCGUAGAGAUCAGAAGGAAUACCGAUUGCGAAGGCGAUCUACUAGAACAUUAUUGACGCUGAGACGCGAAAGCGUGGGGAGCAAACAGGAUUAGAUACCCGGGUAGUC